GAAAUGCGAUAAUUAAUGUGAAUUGCAGAAUUCAGUGAAUCAUCGAGUCUUUGAACGCACAUUGCGCCCCCUGGUAUUCCGGGGGGCAUGCCUGUCCGAGCGUCAUUGCUGCCCUCAAGCACGGCUUGUGUGUUGGGCUUCCGUCCCUGGCAACGGGGACGGGCCCAAAAGGCAGUGGCGGCACCAUGUCUGGUCCUCGAGCGUAUGGGGCUUUGUCACCCGCUCCCGUAGGUCCAGCUGGCAGCUAGCCUCGCAACCAAUCUUUUUAACCAGGUUGACCUCGGAUCAGGUAGGGAUACCCGCUGAACUUAAGCA
Molecule: unclassified non-coding RNA, 315 nt
Filed under: plant metagenome
Description: partial contains 5.8S ribosomal RNA, internal transcribed spacer 2, and large subunit ribosomal RNA
Rfam family: 5.8S ribosomal RNA (bases 1-105)
Source: RNAcentral